RNAcentral lists this ribosomal RNA (484 nucleotides) under uncultured bacterium. Its description in RNAcentral is "partial 16S ribosomal RNA". It matches the Rfam family "Bacterial small subunit ribosomal RNA", at positions 30 to 507 of the family's 1533-position model. The record is from RNAcentral.
AUUGAACGCUGGCGGCAGGCCUAACACAUGCAAGUCGAGCGGAUGAAGGGAGCUUGCUCCUGGAUUCAGCGGCGGACGGGUGAGUAAUGCCUAGGAAUCUGCCUGGUAGUGGGGGAUAACGUCCGGAAACGGGCGCUAAUACCGCAUACGUCCUGAGGGAGAAAGUGGGGGAUCUUCGGACCUCACGCUAUCAGAUGAGCCUAGGUCGGAUUAGCUAGUUGGUGGGGUAAAGGCCUACCAAGGCGACGAUCCGUAACUGGUCUGAGAGGAUGAUCAGUCACACUGGAACUGAGACACGGUCCAGACUCCUACGGGAGGGAGCAGUGGGGAAUAUUGGAGAAUGGGCGAAAGCCUGAUCCAGCCAUGCCGCGUGUGUGAAGAAGGUCUUCGGAUUGUAAAGCACUUUAAGUUGGGAGGAAGGGCAGUAAGUUAAUACCUUGCUGUUUUGACGUUACCAACAGAAUAAGCACCGGCUAACUUCGUG